Molecule: long non-coding RNA, 2068 nt
Organism: Vidua macroura (Pin-tailed whydah)
Lineage: Eukaryota; Metazoa; Chordata; Aves; Passeriformes; Viduidae
Exons: 4
Source: RefSeq, a predicted model, not a curated record
UGAAAAAGGGCGGGAAGCCGUGAGGGGGCGGCGUUCCCGCCCUCAGCCUCGCCUCGGGGCCGGCGGACAGAUAAUUGCUGAAAUGGAACUGAGAAAUAUCACGGCGGCAUUGGCAUGAAACUUGCAAAAGAAAAGGAUUGAUUUAUACAAUGUGUGCAGGUUCUUGCUGGAUUUGAACAGUUUCCAGAGAAGAAAUUGUCUGAUCUAGAUGAUGGAGAGAGGGGAGCGCUGAAGCAUUUGGGAAGAGGAAGCCCUUUCCUGACAGGCGGUGUUGGCCGGGCGCUGUAACACAGCAUCGGACUGUGCCGGAAAGGUAAUCCGUGUGCCGGGCUCCAUCUCACCAGAGCUCUGCAGUGCCAUCAGGAGCACAGCAAUGAACAUCCACCUUCCUGCCCCUUAUCCCCUGCCACUGAGGCUUUCUGGAUGCAGGGCCUUAGCCUUUGAUCAGUUUAUUGAUCUUUCAGUGUAGGAUCUAACUUUGCUGCAGGGGCACCAUAAAUACAGUAUUGCACGAGUCAUUUAUUUUUAUUGAUUAGUUGCCACUGCUAAAUUCUGGCUACUGAAUUAAUGGAUGCUGAAUAACUACUUUGAUUAAUGAAGCUAAAAUUGGCUUUAGCAUCCUGCGCUAACUACAGGCAAUUUUUUCUAUUACAAAGCUAAUAAUUUCUUUUUUUAUGAUCCACAAUUAAUUUCAUUAUUUGACUUAUCCUUGGCACCUCACUGGAAGCCACAGAGUAAUGAAACAGGAGCUAUUUAUAAAUGUUCAUAAUUUACAGUAUCACACAAGAACAUCCUUACUCUAAGUGCAUACUUAAACACUAGAAUUAGUAGGUGAAUUUGACCAAAUGACUGCAUUUCAGAAGGUAAAAUUUUAGAAGAUUAAUUUGAGGUGCUGCCUCUUUUGCCACUGUUUUGGCACAUUCUAGAUGUGUCUUCACAAGGUAGGUGAAAACAUUCAUGAAUAAGUGUUCUGACACACAGUUCAGGUGUCAUAGAGGUGUUGUCUUCCAUAUUUCCUUUUUUACAAAAAAAGUUCCAUCUUUAUUUAUUUGGCAUUUGAUUUUUAUUGGAACAUAUUUUGGAAGAUAUGCAUUUUCCUUUCUUCCUUGGUAAGUAUAAGGUGGGCCCAUCUUUUCUUUUUCCUGAGCCUUCUCUACACAAUAAAAACCCCUAGUGGAGGUGAACAUUGCUCACCCUCCAUAGGUGGUCUAGAGCCUAAGCAUCAACAUUGUGAGAGUCACUAGGAAUGUGUGUAAGAAAGCAACUCAUCACAAGGGAGAAUAAGACAGUUGUAAGGCAGAGAAUUCCCAGAUCUGUUUGGCAAACUACUUUGUUAGAGCUGCUUGGAAAAUGUGACGCACUGUGGUGACUUCCCAGUGUUGAGGAAUGCAGUCAGUGCAGGAGACCAGCGGAGACACAGCAGGAGAGGAAGACUCCAGACUGUCAAGCACUCAGACUGUGAGGGUGUAAAAAGCCAGGGUUUCCUUUGUUUGGGGUUCCUCAUUCCAGACACCAAACUGGAGCUGCUAUUUCUCUUAUUGCACCAUGAGUAAAGUAUUUUAAGGGUUGUGAUGUCUGAGGCUCUGCCAUGGGGAUCCUGGGGUCCAGCCGAUGAGGAGACCUGGUCUGGCUGUGAGUGUGGAGUGCCCAGGUGUGAAGGGGCCUCAGUCCCAGGUGCAAGAGUGACUCCAGGGUGUCCAGACAGGCCAGGUUCCUUAACAACUGCAGUUAACAGCUCUCAAGGUUUUCAUUAAUUUUUAUUUGACAAAUAGCCCAGGUAAGGUAUCUUUAUCUGUGGCAGUAUUUGUUCAUGUCCUAGACUCUUUUGACUAACCUGAAGCGAUUGGUCCUUUGAUCAUAUAACAAAAAUGCAGAUAAUCAUUUUGAGAGAGAACCCAGGAGUUGGAAGGUGUGUUAAUUUAUCAGGUGUAUUGGGCUGGAGUUCUGUAGGGUUUGUGAUAAGGCAUUAUCAUGAGAGAUUCUUUUACACAAAGAAAUAAAGCCAUCACACCUAAUCUUGAUGGGUUUAUUUAGAUAUGAAUCUAUAGCUGACAUCAAAGAGUAUGAC